UAUUAAAAUUUUUAAAAAAAAUAUUUUAAAAGUGUGGCCUAAAUUUUCAUUAAAAAAUUUUCCUCUCCGUACAAAAUAUUUUACUCUCCCUCCAAUUUAUUAAUUAGCCAAAAAUAAAUGAGUAAAGAAAAUAUUUACUAAAUAUAUUGAUCUCUUUUUCCAAAUAUCUCACAGAUCUCAUAACUCACAAAACCCUCUUAUCUCUUUGCCAUUUUUCUCUUCAAAUCCAUCGAAUCCAUUGAAGAUUUUUGCCCGAAAUCGUCAAAUUUCGCCUAAUUUCAGCUCUUUUAGAUCUUUAUGGGAAGAUUUUUCUGCAGAAAGAGUCCUAUUGAUGCAAUUAGGCGGUGCUGAGUGCACCUUGUUUCCCUUAUUUGUACUAUUCACAGCUUUACACCUGAGAUGAAGCAAUAUAUGAAGAUGAUAUCCCAUCACCACAAAAUUGUACAUGGUGCAUUUAUCUAUAGUAUAAAACCAUUAGCAAGGAUGUCAUUGGGUUUACCAGUGGCAGCCACCGUCAACUGCGCCGACAACAUUGGAGCAAAGAACUUGUACAUCAUUUCAGUGAAAGGUAUCGGUGCAAGGCUUAACAGGUUACCAUCAGCUUGUGUAGGUGACAUGGUUAUGGCUACAGUGAAGCAGGGGAAACCGUGGCACCUUUUCAUGUACUUUGAAAGCGGGUGAACUUUUUUCCACUCCAUAUGGUUCAAAUGAUGAUUGGUAACACUCUUUACUUUAAGCUCUUAUUACUAAUAUAUAGAAGUGUGAUCAAGUAGCAGGUGGAAGCUAGCAGGUGGAGGUUGUCCUGCCAGCUUCCCCAGGGUUAGUUUGGUAAUUUCGCUAGGGGCAAUUUGAGUUGGUACACGUUACAACAGCUGUCCUUUAUAUACUACGUGUAUUUCCAGAAAUGAGAAAUACAACAACUCAAGCUUUGGUUGUCUUACUAAAAAAACAAAAAUUCAUUCUCAGACCUCUGAUAAUCUUCCUGUUCUUCUCAGAUUUUCAAUCCAAAGAGUGUAAGUUCUCUUCGUUGUAGAUUUUCCCCUUUUCUUACAUAGUAGUAAAACUAAUAGAAAACUCCAGUGGUUUGCUACUUGGAAUUCUAAUUUUAUCGUCUGUCAUUCUUCGUUGCUGGAUUCUUGUGACUGAUAUAUUAGUAAUUUUAUCGCUUCUGUGUUCCUAUAUUAAACAAACAUUUCUGAUAUAUUUGUCAAUUGUUUAGGAGACUGUUUCUGUAUUUUAACAUCUGUACUCUACCUUACAGCUUUUGGUAAAGAAAUUCCCAACCUCGAAGCUUCCAAUUCGACAGUCUCUGGACCAACAAAAUGGACCAGAAACUUCAUGUGAACUCCAUAACAAAAGAAACUACAGGCUGGAACUGUUAGGUUCAGGUAGUAGAUAGGUUUCAGCCUCGCCAGAGCAACGACUCCUCCGUCCACUUCCAAACAAUACUGGUUUAAGAUGAAAGCGUGGUUAAACCCAAAACUGAAUGUGGUCAGGUCAGGUGGUGUGCCAUGUACAGCUAAAUUUUUAUUGCCUCCACCAACUUCAUCGCACGGUAUAGCAUGUACAGAGUCAUCUGUGUUAUCCCAGCUUCCAGGGGAUGCUAAGGCUUCGGCUAUCAAGGCAGCUCCUUCACGAACAACUGGUAAAGAAAGAGCUUGGAGACUUUUGAAGAAGGGAUUGUUCAUGGUUAAGAAUGAUCUGCUUGAGCUUCUCUCUUCUAGAUCUGAUAAGAAGUAUAGUUUUGGUUCAGAUGCUGCCCGACUCCAGACUGGCAAUUGUCAGGCUUGUGUCCAUCUUAAUAUUCACCAUCCAUAAUGCGAUUAGCGGAAGUGAUAAUCCCCAAACCCUAGUUUAGGGGAGUACACUUGGUAUUUUUUUCAGGUAAGGUGGUUUUUAAAGGAAACAUUAGGUGAAUCUGUUUGUGUUCUAUACAACAACAUAGUAUGUCAUUCAACUAGAGAAGAUCAUAGUUCAACUCACAAAUCAUCAAGGAUAUGAAUAAUAAUGUAUAUUGUGAUCGAGGACGUCGCAAAGCCUAGAUUAAGCAUGGAGUCGGUGUAUUUCUCGAAGGAAACAUGAUGAAAAUUUGCGUGUAUUAUAAUUUUUGAGUUAUUUUUAUCUAACAUAGUGUUUUGAGAUAAUCUAAAUAGAAUAAUGAUGUAUAAUAUGACUAGGGGAUGUAUGAAAAUAUAUUGUAUUUUUCAAUCAAAAUUUGUAGUAAAUAUUAAUCGUAUAAAAUAGACAAGAAUGCUAUGUUUUAAAUGUGUGGUCAUUAGGAGCAGGGAUAUAUAUUGUGCGACUUAUUUAGAUGUAUAUGUACAAAUUAGCAAAGGCAACACUUUGUAAAUGUUGCUUUAGAGAAGAUAUUAAUGGUUACACUUCAAAAGUGUGGCCUUAAGAAAGUAAAAAUCAUGCUUUUUAAGUGUUGUUAUAGAGAUGCUAUAAAAGGCUAUGCUUUGAAGCGUGCCCAAUAGUAAAACAAAGGCAACAUUUUGUAAGUGUUGUUAUAGAGGUGCUACAAAAGGUUACGCUUGUGAAGUGUGCCCAAUACCAAAACAAAGGCAACACUUGUAAGUGUAGCUUUAUCAAAUAAAAGUGUUGUCAAUGAGAAACUAUAAAACAUGACCUUUAUACCUUAAUGGCCAUGCUUUUUAAGUGUAGCUGAUAUGGCAACACUUGAAAAGCGUGGCCUUUGAUCAAAGGUUACGCUCUUUAGGCCACCCCCCAAAAAGUGUUGUCUAAAGUCCAAAAGUGUAGCCUCUGAUCAAAGGCCAUACUUUCUGCUAUUUUACCUUUAUACCUUAAUGGCCAUGCUUUUUAAGUGUAGCUGAUAUGGCAACACUUGAAAAGCGUGGCCUUUGAUCAAAGGUUACGCCUCUUUAGGCCACCCCCCAAAAAGUGUUGUCUAAAGUACAAAGUCAUACUUUCUGCUAUUUUAGGCCAUGCUUUACAAGAGUGGCCGUAGGCCAAAAAUGUUGUAGUGACCCGAAGGGGGUAUUGGGCCAAUUAAAAAACAUGUCCUAGAUCUAUUGACCCCGAGUCAACUAUAGACGAAUUAUAUUUAUGUGUUGAAGAAAUAUCUGUUUAUUUAAUUCAAUCCAUUAUCCUUUGGGAGUCAGGAGUAGGCUUUCUUUACUUACUUUCAUGUAAGAAUGCCUCAAUCACACACCAAUUGAAGAAGAAAUUGAAGCAAGCCAAGAAAGAAAUUGAUCGAUUUGGACGGUUGCAUCUGGAGCAUAGUUAUAUGAAAAUUGCUUGAUCAUCAAUGUAUAUCGCCAAUGACAAGAAAUGGACAAAGCAAAGAGGGCGAAGGCCGAUUGAAGAGCAUUCAUGAACUAGUAUUUCCUAUCCCCUGCGUGGGACAUUGUUCUUUUUCUCAUGUUAUUUUCCCUUUCCCUAAAGAUUGUAUCCCUUUUGUGCAACUUUUGUAGGCAUUUAUGCAAUUUAUGUACACCUAUGAAGGUUUUUGGGAGGAUAAUGGAUAGGUUUUAAAAA
Molecule: RNA transcript, 3498 nt
Organism: Capsicum annuum
Lineage: Eukaryota; Viridiplantae; Streptophyta; Magnoliopsida; Solanales; Solanaceae
Exons: 8
Source: RefSeq, a predicted model, not a curated record